GGCCUCCUGGUGCUUACCACAGGCUGUGUUCUUUACUUUGAAGUUAUAAAAAGAGGAGGCACAGUAAAUGCACCCCUUAUACACCUCAGCCCAGGUUCUUUUUGCCUGGUUUGUAUUGUAAAUGGAGGAGACAUGG
Small nucleolar RNA from Suncus etruscus (white-toothed pygmy shrew), 136 nucleotides. RefSeq annotates it as small nucleolar RNA SNORA51. NCBI's taxonomy places the organism in Eukaryota, Metazoa, Chordata, Mammalia, Eulipotyphla, Soricidae. The record is from RefSeq and is a predicted model, not a curated record. The transcript has a single exon.